RNAcentral lists this ribosomal RNA (253 nucleotides) under uncultured bacterium. RNAcentral's name for it is "partial 16S ribosomal RNA". It matches the Rfam family "Bacterial small subunit ribosomal RNA", at positions 524 to 776 of the family's 1533-position model. The record is from RNAcentral.
UACGAAGGGGGCUAGCGUUGCUCGGAAUCACUGGGCGUAAAGGGUGCGUAGGCGGGUCUUUAAGUCAGGGGUGAAAUCCUGGAGCUCAACUCCAGAACUGCCUUUGAUACUGAAGAUCUUGAGUCCGGGAGAGGUGAGUGGAACUGCGAGUGUAGAGGUGAAAUUCGUAGAUAUCCGCAAGAACACCAGUGGCGAAGGCGGCUCACUGGCCCGGUACUGACGCUGAGGCACGAAAGCGUGGGGAGCAAACAGG